Molecule: ribosomal RNA, 301 nt
Filed under: uncultured bacterium
Lineage: Bacteria
Description: partial 16S ribosomal RNA
Rfam family: Bacterial small subunit ribosomal RNA
Source: RNAcentral
CAGCCGCCACGGGAAUACGUAGGGUGCAAGCGUUGUCCGGAAUUAUUGGGCGUAAAGAGCUCGUAGGCGGUUUGUCGCGUCUGCUGUGAAAUCCCGAGGCUCAACCUCGGGCUUGCAGUGGGUACGGGCAGACUAGAGUGCGGUAGGGGAGAUUGGAAUUCCUGGUGUAGCGGUGGAAUGCGCAGAUAUCAGGAGGAACACCGAUGGCGAAGGCAGAUCUCUGGGCCGUAACUGACGCUGAGGAGCGAAAGCGUGGGGAGCGAACAGGAUUAGAUACCCGCGUAGUCCCUGUCUCUUAUAC